RNAcentral lists this unclassified non-coding RNA (387 nucleotides) under soil metagenome. Its description in RNAcentral is "partial contains 5.8S ribosomal RNA, internal transcribed spacer 2, and large subunit ribosomal RNA". The stretch from base 1 to 120 matches the Rfam family "5.8S ribosomal RNA", at positions 35 to 154 of the family's 154-position model. The record is from RNAcentral.
GAUGAAGAACGCAGCGAAAUGCGAUAAGUAAUGUGAAUUGCAGAAUUCAGUGAAUCAUCGAAUCUUUGAACGCACCUUGCACCCUUUGGUAUUCCGAAGGGUAUGCUCGUUUGAGUGUCAUUGUACUCUCACACUUCUAAUUCCUUUCGGGAUUGGGAGCGGUGGACUUGGGUGUUGCUGCUUUAGUUGUGGCUCACCUCAAAUAAGUUAGUGCAACUCUUGGUUGGACAUAGUACGGCGUGAUAAGUGUCUUCGCCGGCGCCUCUGUAAGGAGGGUGGCCGAUCGGGAGCUCUGUGCUUCAAACUGUCUUCGGACAACAUCUGACAACUUGACCUCAAAUCGAGUAGGACUACCCGCUGAACUUAAGCAUAUCAAUAAGCGGAGGA